AAGUCGUAACAAGGUUUCCGUAGGUGAACCUGCGGAGGGAUCAUUCACAUGAUCAUAAUCUUAAACAAUUCUGUGAACUUUUUUUUUUAAACCCAUCUUUUUUUCUAUUGUAACAAAUAGAAAAAAUUACAUUCGAUCGUACAUUAGAUAGCUGGUUUUACUUUUAAUCGAGUAAUUUCUACAGCUGAUUGAAAUAUAUCUAAACAAUAUAUUUGAAUCAAGACAAACAAACAUAGAAUUUAACAACUCUAUGCCCUGGAUAUCUUGGUUCUC
Molecule: unclassified non-coding RNA, 273 nt
Filed under: fungal sp.
Lineage: Eukaryota; Fungi
Description: partial internal transcribed spacer region
Rfam family: Eukaryotic small subunit ribosomal RNA (bases 1-46)
Source: RNAcentral